This 266-nucleotide ribosomal RNA is filed under the name uncultured prokaryote. Its description in RNAcentral is "partial 16S ribosomal RNA". It matches the Rfam family "Bacterial small subunit ribosomal RNA", at positions 524 to 789 of the family's 1533-position model. The record is from RNAcentral.
UACGUAGGUGGCGAGCGUUAUCCGGAAUUAUUGGGCGUAAAGAGCGCGCAGGUGGUUGAUUAAGUCUGAUGUGAAAGCCCACGGCUUAACCGUGGAGGGUCAUUGGAAACUGGUCGACUUGAGUGCAGAAGAGGGAAGUGGAAUUCCAUGUGUAGCGGUGAAAUGCGUAGAGAUAUGGAGGAACACCAGUGGCGAAGGCGGCUUCCUGGUCUGUAACUGACACUGAGGCGCGAAAGCGUGGGUAGCAAACAGGAUUAGAUACCCGU